This 373-nucleotide ribosomal RNA is filed under the name uncultured bacterium. RNAcentral's name for it is "bacterial SSU rRNA". It matches the Rfam family "Bacterial small subunit ribosomal RNA", at positions 523 to 898 of the family's 1533-position model. The record is from RNAcentral.
AUACGGAGGAUGCGAGCGUUAUCCGGAUUCAUUGGGUUUAAAGGGUGCGUAGGCGGCUUCUUAAGUCAGUGGUGAAAUCCUGCGGCUCAACCGUAGAACUGCCAUUGAAACUGGGGAGCUUGAAUACAGAUGAGGUAGGCGGAAUGAGUAGUGUAGCGGUGAAAUGCAUAGAUAUUACUCAGAACACCGAUUGCGUAGGCAGCUUACUAAACUGAUAUUGACGCUGAGGCACGAAAGCGUGGGGAGCGAACAGGAUUAGAUACCCUGGUAGUCCACGCAGUAAACGAUGUUCACUCGCUGUUUGCGAUACACAGUAAGCGGCUUAGCGAAAGCAUUAAGUGAACCACCUGGGGAGUACGUCGGCAACGGUGAA